GGCAACAGCUCAAAUUUGAAAUCUGGCCUCGGCCCGAGUUGUAAUUUGCAGAGGAUGCUUUUGGUGCGGUGCCUUCCGAGUUCCCUGGAACGGGACGCCACAGAGGGUGAGAGCCCCGUAUGGUCGGACACCAAUCCUGUGUAAAGCUCCUUCGACGAGUCGAGUAGUUUGGGAAUGCUGCUCUAAAUGGGAGGUAAAUCUCUUCUAAAGCUAAAUACCGGCCAGAGACCGAUAGCGCACAAGUAGAGUGAUCGAAAGAUGAAAAGCACCUUGAAAAGGGGGUUAAACAGUACGUGAAAUUGUUGAAAGGGAAGCACUUGUGACCAGACUUGGGCCGGGCGGCUCAUCAGGGGUUCUCCCCUGUGCAUUCCGCCCGGUACAGGCCAGCAUCGGUUCUUACCGGGGGAUAAGAACGGCAGGAACGUGGCUCCCUCUCGGGGGAGUGUUAUAGCCUGCCGUACGAUACCCUGGCGGGGACCGAGGUUCGCGCUUCCGCAAGGAUGCUGGCGUAAUGGUUACUAGUGACCCGUCUUGAAACACGGACCAAGGAGUCGUCCAUUAGAGCGAGCGUUUGGGUGUAAAACCCGCACGCGUAAUGAAAGUGAAAUUAGGUGAGAGCUUCGGCGCAUCAUCGACCGAUCCUGAUGUUCUCGGAUGGAUUUGAGUAAGAGUUUUAACGGACGGACCCGAAAGACAGUGAACUAUGCUUGUAUAGGGUGAAGCCAGAGGAAACUCUGGUGGAGGCUCGC
RNAcentral lists this ribosomal RNA (749 nucleotides) under Tubakia californica. Its description in RNAcentral is "eukaryotic LSU rRNA". It matches the Rfam family "Eukaryotic large subunit ribosomal RNA", at positions 100 to 878 of the family's 3401-position model. The record is from RNAcentral. Lineage: Eukaryota; Fungi; Ascomycota; Sordariomycetes; Diaporthales; Tubakiaceae.